Molecule: ribosomal RNA, 531 nt
Filed under: Triticum aestivum (bread wheat)
Lineage: Eukaryota; Viridiplantae; Streptophyta; Magnoliopsida; Poales; Poaceae
Description: partial small subunit ribosomal RNA
Source: RNAcentral
AUGCUGCAGGGCAAUGAGUAUGAACUUGCUCCUGGUAAGGUGACCAGGAGCAGCCAACUUGGUGAUGGGUGUUGCUGGAGUCAUGGCAACUUUGUUGCUCGUCGGAAGUGCUCUGGCUGCUUCUCUUUCCUGCCGGUUCCACAAACUCUCUUUUUCUUUGAGCACGUCUGUAGAGCUGAUUUCGAAGGAGUUGUCACAUGCAUUCCUUUAGAUGAACCAGUGAUUGAAGCCUACACCUUUCUUGGUUUCCGUCUUCUGUGGGGUACUCGUCGUCUUGGUGGCUGUCUCUCUCUCUCUCUCUCUGCACAUUACCCUCUUAAAUUUCUCUGUUGCCUGAUUUCCUCUGUUAUCUUUUCAGCGGAUUGCGUUUGCAAGACAUGCUACCGUCUCUUCAAUAUUCCACACCCUUGUUUGAAGAGGACAUGUACAUGUGGACAUAGCAGGGUGGAGAAAAUAUGUGAAAUGUGUUAUAAUCGAAGCGGUGUGCUGCAUCCAUUCAGAGGAGAAUUCCAGUUUGGCUAUCACAAAUAG